CCUACGGGUGGCAGCAGUAGGGAAUAUUGCUCAAUGGGCGAAACCCUGAAGCAGCAACGCCGCGUGGAGGAUGAAGGUUUUCGGAUUGUAAACUCCUUUUGUUAGAGAAGAUAAUGACGGUAUCUAACGAAUAAGCACUGGCUAAUACCGUGUCAGCAGCCGCGGUAAUACGUAGGGUGCAAGCGUUACGCGGAAUCACUGGGCGUAAAGUGCGCGUAGGCGGGAUAUCAAGUCAGAUGUGAAAGCCUAUGGCUUAACCAUAGAGCUGCAUUUGAAACUGUUAUUCUAGAGUAUGGGAGAGGUAGGUGGAAUUCUUGGUGUAGCGGUAAAAUGCGUAGAGAUCAAGAGGAAUACUCGUGGCGAAGGCGACCUGCUGGAACAUAACUGACGCUGAUGCGCGAAAGCGUGGGGAGCAAACAGGAUUAGAUACCCCUGUAGUC
RNAcentral lists this ribosomal RNA (440 nucleotides) under uncultured bacterium. Its description in RNAcentral is "partial 16S ribosomal RNA". It matches the Rfam family "Bacterial small subunit ribosomal RNA", at positions 338 to 795 of the family's 1533-position model. The record is from RNAcentral.